RNAcentral lists this ribosomal RNA (464 nucleotides) under uncultured bacterium. RNAcentral's name for it is "partial 16S ribosomal RNA". It matches the Rfam family "Bacterial small subunit ribosomal RNA", at positions 28 to 506 of the family's 1533-position model. The record is from RNAcentral.
GACGAACGCUGGCGGCGUGCUUAACACAUGCAAGUCGUACGGUAAGGCCCUUUCGGGGGUACACGAGUGGCGAACGGGUGAGUAACACGCGAGUAACCUGCCCACAACUUUGGGAUAACGCUAGGAAACUGGUGCUAAUACUGGAUAUGUGCUCCUGCUGCAUGGUGGGGGUUGGAAAGCUCCGGCGGUUGUGGAUGGACUCGCGGCCUAUCAGCUUGUUGGUGGGGUAGUGGCCUACCAAGGCGGCGACGGGUAGCCGGCCUGAGAGGGUGACCGGCCACAUUGGGACUGAGAUACGGCCCAGACUCCUACGGGAGGCAGCAGUGGGGAAUAUUGCACAAUGGGCGCAAGCCUGAUGCAGCAACGCCGCGUGCGGGAUGACGGCCUUCGGGUUGUAAACCGCUUUCAGCAGGGACGAAGCUUUUUGUGACGGUACCGGCAGAAGAAGCACCGGCUAACUACGU